This 409-nucleotide unclassified non-coding RNA is filed under the name Hevea brasiliensis (rubber tree). The record is from RNAcentral. Lineage: Eukaryota; Viridiplantae; Streptophyta; Magnoliopsida; Malpighiales; Euphorbiaceae.
AUUUUAAUUGUGCUAUCCUUGCUUCUUGAUUGAUCUAGAAAUAUGCAUACUCUGCAUCUUUUUGUUAAACAUUUCUUUGGAACUUUGAAGUUGCCACUUUCUCUGUGGAUCCUUCCUGGAGCAAAAUGAUGGGUGAGCUAGGGAUAAUUGGUUCAUGUAAGGCAAUGUAUGGUGUGGGUCAUGGAUCAUAACUUAAUAAGCCAAAAGAAAUGGGAAGUGAAAAAAAAGGACAAAAAUGAUUGCCUGACUGAGAAAGUUUUGGAAGUAAGCCCAGAGUAUCUAUGGUUUCAAGAAUGAAAAUUUGUGUAAAUUCUUCAAAAUCAAUAAUGGGAAACAUUUGUUUUUGAAGUCAAUAAUGGGAAUUCUUUUCCUUUGAUUCAAGUGGAAGGCUUCUUAUUUCAAACAUAAG